AGAUUGAACGCUGGCGGCAUGCCUUACACAUGCAAGUCGAACGGCAGCACGGACUUCGGUCUGGUGGCGAGUGGCGAACGGGUGAGUAAUAUAUCGGAACGUACCCUGGAGUGGGGGAUAACGCAGCGAAAGUUGCGCUAAUACCGCAUACGAUCUACGGAUGAAAGUGGGGGAUUCGCAAGAACCUCAUGCUCGUGGAGCGGCCGAUAUCUGAUUAGCUAGUUGGUAGGGUAAAAGCCUACCAAGGCAUCGAUCAGUAGCUGGUCUGAGAGGACGACCAGCCACACUGGGACUGAGACACCGGCCCAGACUCCUACGGGAGGCAGCAGGUGGGUAAUUUUGGACAAGUGGGGGACCAACCCGUGACUCCAGCAAUCGCCGUCGUGAGUGAAGAACGGUCCGUUCGGGUUAGUAAACGUCUUC
Molecule: ribosomal RNA, 423 nt
Filed under: uncultured soil bacterium
Lineage: Bacteria
Description: bacterial SSU rRNA
Rfam family: Bacterial small subunit ribosomal RNA
Source: RNAcentral